This 484-nucleotide ribosomal RNA is filed under the name uncultured bacterium. Its description in RNAcentral is "partial 16S ribosomal RNA". It matches the Rfam family "Bacterial small subunit ribosomal RNA", at positions 30 to 507 of the family's 1533-position model. The record is from RNAcentral.
AUUGAACGCUGGCGGCAGGCCUAACACAUGCAAGUCGAGCGGAUGAAGGGAGCUUGCUCCUGGAUUCAGCGGCGGACGGGUGAGUAAUGCCUAGGAAUCUGCCUGGUAGUGGGGGAUAACGUCCUGAAACGGGCGCUAAUACCGCAUACGUCCUGAGGGAGAAAGUGGGGGAUCUUCGGACCUCACGCUAUCAGAUGAGCCUAGGUCGGAUUAGCUAGUUGGUGGGGUAAAGGCCUACCAAGGCGACGAUCCGUAACUGGUCUGAGAGGAUGAUCAGUCACACUGGAACUGAGACACGGUCCAGACUCCUACGGGAGGCAGCAGUGGGGAAUAUUGGACAAAGGGCGAAAGCCUGAUCCAGCCAUGCCGCGUGUGUGAAGAAGGUCUUCGGAUUGUAAAGCACUUUAAGUUGGGAGGAAGGGCAGUAAGUUAAUACCUUGCUGUUUUGACGUUACCAACAGAAUAAGCACCGGCUAACUUCGUG